Non-coding RNA from Chiloscyllium plagiosum (whitespotted bambooshark), 1590 nucleotides. The record is from RefSeq and is a predicted model, not a curated record. Lineage: Eukaryota; Metazoa; Chordata; Chondrichthyes; Orectolobiformes; Hemiscylliidae.
GCAGACUGGGCAAAUAUAAUGAGGCCCAACUGUUCCACUCCGGGUUACUUUGUAAAGACAGGAGGACGCAGGUUCACCCGAAACUGGAACAAAGACAUCUUAAGAGUUAACGGCAUCGCUGUACGGAGGGACUGGAGGAAGAGCAGAACGCAUACUGCAAUUGGAUGCGUAAAGCUUUGGUCACGGGGGUGUGUAGGGAGGGAUGGGGAAGGUGAACCAAAAAAAGCGGAUCUGAUUGAAACGAGAAGAACUCUGCGGCCGAGAUUGAGCGAAAGCGCCUCUCUCCCCCUCUGUGUGUGGAAUGAGUGGCCGGGCCAGCCUAGGAGCUGCUGAUUGGCCAGUGCGCCUAGAUUAGGGCUGGCCCUUACAGUCAUCACAUCCAUUCCGUGGCUACUCCAGUGACCUCCUCUCCGCCCUUCGGAAUUUCUCCAAGUUCCAGCCUCUCCCGCCACAAAUCCUCCUCUGUGUCUCCCCACCCCCGCACCCCAUCCCAUCCCAUUCACUCUGUCUCUCUCACACACACACAGACCCCUGUUGGAUAAUAAACAACAGCCAGAGGCAAUCUGUAACAUACAAGAGAGGGGGGAGGGGCGAAUCCCCGUGGCCAGCGCAGCUUUCUGAAAUACUAACAUUUUCAGUAGGCACGGAGUAUAGGUUAAUCAAUACGAUGUACUUGCAGCAAUUUCCGCCUCCACCCCUUUUAAUUUGAAUCUCUUCCACCACCACCCCCCCCCCCAAACACAAACAUAAGUUAUAACUUAUUUCUGAGGGCAAUUGUGGCGGGCUGCUGGCUGUAAUUUUCACGAAGUGAUUGAAAUCUUUUCUCGUCCGGGGUGGGGUGCAUCAAGUUCACCACAACAUGGAAACUCCACGUGUUCGCCAGAAUUCUGCAAAAUGCAUUCUGGCCAAGUGCGAGAUUACGUCUGAACAUCACCCAGUCCCAAAAAGAAAGCCCUUGUCACCGGAAAGGGGAUUGCUGAAGGACAAAGUUUAAAGGAGAAACGAAGAGGAGCGGUUGUUCGGGAUUGCACGGAGAAAUAAGAUGGCUUUUCUUUUUCUUACUUUCAAAAGUGUGAAUGGACGGAAGACAGCUGGAUGGUUGUGGCCCAAGACGGGAAGGAUUCUGCAAAGUGUGAAGGAGAAGGAAAGAGCGGGUGAAGAAUCGUGAAAAUAAAUCGGACGUGCUGUGAAUUGCAUUUUGAUUAAAACAAAAGAGAGGCACUCGAGGCGAAAAUGUGACUAAGGUGAAAUGCGGUUAGAGUCCGGCAAACAAGUGAGAAAAUGGAAGGAAGCCCAGAGCUGACGAGGGGGAAUGAAUUGCGGGCAAAGGCUUACCAGACUACAUAAAAGAUGGAGAACUUCUGUAACUGUCCUGAAAUACGUACAAACCAUUGUUAAACGCGGAGGUUGUUCAAUAUUAUUUACACCGCGUUCACGCAGUUUGAAACAAGAAUCGAGAUUGUCUUGACAAUAAAGGUGGACCAUGUACACACAGCUGCGGGGAUGUUGUCUUCACUCUGUUUAAUUUGUUUUGUCAUUGCUGUUAAUUUAUCGUUUUGAUUGAUAAUAUACAUUUUUAUUUUAAAAACA